AGUGAACGCUGGCGGUAGGCCUAACACAUGCCAGUCGAACGGCAGCACAGUAAGAGCUUGCUCUUACGGGUGGCGAGUGGCGGACGGGUGAGGAAUACAUCGGAAUCUACUUUUUCGUGGGGGAUAACGUAGGGAAACUUACGCUAAUACCGCAUACGACCUACGGGUGAAAGCAGGGGAUCUUCGGACCUUGCGCGAUUGAAUGAGCCGAUGUCGGAUUAGCUAGUUGGCGGGGUAAGGGCCCACCAAGGCGACGAUCCGUAGCUGGUCUGAGAGGAUGAUCAGCCACACUGGAACUGAGACACGGUCCAGACUCCUACGGGAGGCAGCAGUGGGGAAUAUUGGACAAUGGGCGCAAGCCUGAUCCAGCCAUACCGCGUGGGUGAAGAAGGCCUUCGGGUUGUAAAGCCCUUUUGUUGGGAAAGAAAAGCAGCAGGUUAAUACCCCGCUGUUCUGACGGUACCCAAAGAAUAAGCGCCGGCUAACUUCGUG
RNAcentral lists this ribosomal RNA (492 nucleotides) under uncultured bacterium. RNAcentral describes it as "partial 16S ribosomal RNA". It matches the Rfam family "Bacterial small subunit ribosomal RNA", at positions 29 to 507 of the family's 1533-position model. The record is from RNAcentral.